This 2905-nucleotide ribosomal RNA is filed under the name Clostridium perfringens D str. JGS1721. RNAcentral's name for it is "bacterial LSU rRNA". It matches the Rfam family "Bacterial large subunit ribosomal RNA". Lineage: Bacteria; Bacillati; Bacillota; Clostridia; Eubacteriales; Clostridiaceae. The record is from RNAcentral.
GGUCAAGCUACAAAGGGCGCAUGGUGAAUGCCUUGGCAUCAGGAGCCGAUGAAGGACGUGAUAAGCUGCGAUAAGCUUCGGGUAGGCGCACAUAGCCUGAGAUCCGAAGAUCUCCGAAUGAGGAAACUCACAUGGGAAACCCCAUGUAUCAUUAAGUGAAUACAUAGCUUAAUGAAGGUAACCCAGGGAACUGAAACAUCUAAGUACCUGGAGGAAGAGAAAGAAAAAUCGAUUUUCUUAGUAGCGGCGAGCGAAAGGGAAAGAGCCCAAACCGGAAACUUGUUUCCGGGGUUGUGGACAGAACAUAACGAUUGGUAGGACGUAAUCGAAGAGAACUGGAAAGUUCCACCGUAGAAGGUAAUAGUCCUGUAGAUGAAACGGGAAAUCAAUUAGUUCUGAUCCAGAGUACCACGAGACACGUGAAACCUUGUGGGAAGCAGGGAGGACCACCUCCCAAGGCUAAAUACUACCUGAUGACCGAUAGUGAAGCAGUACCGUGAGGGAAAGGUGAAAAGAACCCCGGGAGGGGAGUGAAAUAGAACCUGAAACCGUGUGCCUACAACCGCUCAGAGCCCCUUAUGAGGGUGAUGAGGUGCUUUUUGUAGAACGAGCCAACGAGUUACGGUAUGUAGCAAGGUUAAGUACUUAAGGUACGGAGCCGAAGGGAAACCGAGUCUGAAUAGGGCGACUAGUUGCAUGCCGUAGACCCGAAACCGGGUGACCUAUCCAUGGCCAGGUUGAAGCGAGGGUAAAACCUCGUGGAGGACCGAACCACGUUGCUGUUGAAAAAGCAUGGGAUGAGCUGUGGAUAGCGGAGAAAUUCCAAUCGAACCCGGAGAUAGCUGGUUCUCUCCGAAAUAGCUUUAGGGCUAGCGUCGAGUAUGAGUAGUGGAGGUAGAGCACUGAAUGGGCUAGGGGGCAUAGCGCUUACCGAACCUUAUCAAACUCCGAAUGCCACAUACUUUGAGCUCGGCAGUCAGACUACGAAUGAUAAGAUCCGUGGUCAAAAGGGAAACAGCCCAGAUCGUCAGCUAAGGUCCCAAAGUGUAAGUUAAGUGGGAAAGGAUGUGAGAUUUCUAAGACAACUAGGAUGUUGGCUUAGAAGCAGCCAUUCAUUAAAAGAGUGCGUAAUAGCUCACUAGUCGAGAGAUCUUGCGCCGAAAAUGUAACGGGGCUAAACUUACCACCGAAGCUACGGGCUUGAACAUAAGUUCAAGCGGUAGGAGAGCGUCGUAACCGGGCUGAAGUCGUACCGUAAGGAGCGGUGGACUGGUUACGAGUGAGAAUGUUGGCAUCAGUAGCGAGAUGUGGGUGAGAAUCCCACAGGCCGAAAACCUAAGGUUUCCUCAGGAAGGUUCGUCCGCUGAGGGUUAGUCGGGACCUAAGCCGAGGCCGAAAGGCGUAGGUGAUGGACAACUGGUUGAUAUUCCAGUACCACUACCAUCGUUAUUAUCGAUGGCGUGACGCAGGAGGAUAGUGUGUGCUAGCUAUUGGAUGCUAGUCUAAGCGUUUAGGCAGUGAGAGUAGGCAAAUCCGCUCUCAUAAUGCUGAGGCGUGAUGGGGAAGGUUCCACGGAACCGAAGUACAUGAUUCCACGCUGCCAAGAAAAGCGUCUAGAGAGAGAAGUAGUGCCCGUACCGCAAACCGACACAGGUAGGUGAGGAGAGAAUCCUAAGGCCGGCGGAAGAAUUACAGUUAAGGAACUCGGCAAAUUGACCCCGUAAGUUCGCGAGAAGGGGUGCCUACGAGAGUAGGCCGCAGAGAAUAGGCCCAAGCAACUGUUUAGCAAAAACACAGGUCUCUGCUAAAGCGUAAGCUGAUGUAUAGGGGCUGACGCCUGCCCGGUGCUGGAAGGUUAAGGGGAACACUUAGCGCAAGCGAAGGUGUGAACUUAAGCCCCAGUAAACGGCGGCCGUAACUAUAACGGUCCUAAGGUAGCGAAAUUCCUUGUCAGGUAAGUUCUGACCCGCACGAAUGGCGUAAUGACUUGGGCACUGUCUCAACUGUAAAUCCGGCGAAGUUGUAGUGCGAGUGAAGAUGCUCGCUACCCGCGAUUGGACGGAAAGACCCCGUAGAGCUUUACUGUAGCUUAGCAUUGAGUUUUGGUAUUGUCUGUACAGGAUAGGUGGGAGACUAGGAAACCAGGGCGUCAGCCUUGGUGGAGUCAACCUUGGGAUACCACCCUGACAGUACUGAAAUUCUAACUGGCGGCCAUGAAUCUGGUCACAGGACAUUGUUAGGUGGGCAGUUUGACUGGGGCGGUCGCCUCCUAAAAAGUAACGGAGGCGCCCAAAGGUUCCCUCAGAACGGUCGGAAAUCGUUCGAAGAGUGCAAAGGCAGAAGGGAGCCUGACUGCGACACCCACAAGUGGAGCAGGGACGAAAGUCGGGCUUAGUGAUCCGGUGGUACCUCGUGGGAGGGCCAUCGCUCAACGGAUAAAAGCUACCUCGGGGAUAACAGGCUGAUCUCCCCCAAGAGUCCACAUCGACGGGGAGGUUUGGCACCUCGAUGUCGGCUCGUCGCAUCCUGGGGCUGAAGUAGGUCCCAAGGGUUGGGCUGUUCGCCCAUUAAAGCGGCACGCGAGCUGGGUUCAGAACGUCGUGAGACAGUUCGGUCCCUAUCCGUCGCGGGCGUAGGAAAUUUGAGAGGAGCUGUCCUUAGUACGAGAGGACCGGGAUGGACUGACCUCUGGUGUACCAGUUGUUCCGCCAGGAGCACAGCUGGGUAGCUAAGUCGGGAAUGGAUAAACGCUGAAAGCAUCUAAGCGUGAAGCCAACCUCAAGAUGAGAUUUCCCAUAGCGUAAGCUAGUAAGAUCCCUUGAAGAACACAAGGUUGAUAGGUCGGGGGUGUAAGCAUGGUAACAUGUUCAGCUGACCGAUACUAAUAGAUCGAGGGCUUGACCAA